UCCGUGUUGACCACGGCAGUCUCCUACGAGUCCUCGGCAUUACCCGUUAGCAACAUAGGACAAGGGUUGCGCUCGUUGCGGGACUUAACCCAACAUCUCACGACACGAGCUGACGACAGCCAUGCACCACCUAUCGCCGGCCCCGAAGGACACUACAUCUCUGUAGCUUUUCCGGCGUAGUUCAAUCCAGGUAAGGUUCUUCGCGUUGCAUCGAAUUAAGCAACAUGCUCCGCUGCUUGUGCGGGUCCCCGUCAAUUCCUUUGAGUUUUAGCCUUGCGGCCGUACUCCCCAGGCGGGAUACUUAAUGCGUUAGCGACGGCGCGGAAAGUGUUGGUUACUUCCCACACCUAGUAUCCACCGUUUACGGCGUGGACUAC
Molecule: unclassified non-coding RNA, 377 nt
Filed under: uncultured Acidimicrobiia bacterium
Lineage: Bacteria; Bacillati; Actinomycetota; Acidimicrobiia
Description: contains 16S-23S intergenic spacer region
Source: RNAcentral